Molecule: ribosomal RNA, 490 nt
Filed under: uncultured bacterium
Lineage: Bacteria
Description: bacterial SSU rRNA
Rfam family: Bacterial small subunit ribosomal RNA
Source: RNAcentral
GAUGAACGCUAGCGAUAGGCCUAACACAUGCAAGUCGAGGGGCAGCACAUGACGUAGCAAUACAGAUGGUGGCGACCGGCGCACGGGUGAGUAACACGUAUGCAACCUACCUUUAACACGGGCAUAACCCGGAGAAAUUCGGACUAAUUCCCGAUAAUACAGGGGUCCCGCAUGGGAAUAUUUGUUAAAGAUUUAUUGGUUAAAGAUGGGCAUGCGUUCCAUUAGCUAGUUGGUGAGGUAACGGCUCACCAAGGCAACGAUGGAUAGGGGAACUGAGAGGUUUAUCCCCCACACUGGAACUGAGACACGGUCCAGACUCCUACGGGAGGCAGCAGUGAGGAAUAUUGGUCAAUGGAGGCAACUCUGAACCAGCCAAGUCGCGUGAAGGAUGAAUGUCCUAUGGAUUGUAAACUUCUUUUGUACAGGAAUAAAGUGAGCCACGUGUGGUUUUUUGCAUGUACUGUACGAAUAAGGAUCGGCUAACUCCGUG